CAACUGCAAGUGGUGGAUCACUCGG
This 25-nucleotide ribosomal RNA is filed under the name Dactylogyrus dulkeiti. Its description in RNAcentral is "partial 5.8S ribosomal RNA". Lineage: Eukaryota; Metazoa; Platyhelminthes; Monogenea; Dactylogyridea; Dactylogyridae. The record is from RNAcentral.